GGACGAACGCUGGCGGCGUGCUUAACACAUGCAAGUCGAACGGAAAGGCCCUGCUUUUGUGGGGUGCUCGAGUGGCGAACGGGUGAGUAACACGUGAGUAACCUGCCCUUAACUUUGGGAUAACUUCAGGAAACUGGGGCUAAUACCGGAUAGGAGCUCCUGCUGCAUGGUGGGGGUUGGAAAGUUUCGGCGGUUGGGGAUGGACUCGCGGCUUAUCAGCUUGUUGGUGGGGUAGUGGCUUACCAAGGCUUUGACGGGUAGCCGGCCUGAGAGGGUGACCGGCCACAUUGGGUCUGAGAUACGGCCCAGACUCCUACGGGAGGCAGCAGUGGGGAAUAUUGCACAAUGGGCGGAAGCCUGAUGCAGCAACGCCGCGUGCGGGAUGACGGCCUUCGGGUUGUAAACCGCUUUCGCCUGUGACGAAGCGUGAGUGACGGUAAUGGGUAAAGAAGCACCGGCUAACUACGUG
This 469-nucleotide ribosomal RNA is filed under the name uncultured bacterium. RNAcentral's name for it is "partial 16S ribosomal RNA". It matches the Rfam family "Bacterial small subunit ribosomal RNA", at positions 27 to 507 of the family's 1533-position model. The record is from RNAcentral.